CAGUAGCCGCGGUAAUACGAAGGGGGCUAGCGUUGUUCGGAAUUACUGGGCGUAAAGCGCACGUAGGCGGAUACUUAAGUCAGGGGUGAAAUCCCGGGGCUCAACCCCGGAACUGCCUUUGAUACUGGGUAUCUCGAGUCCGGAAGAGGUGAGUGGAAUUCCGAGUGUAGAGGUGAAAUUCGUAGAUAUUCGGAAGAACACCAGUGGCGAAGGCGACUGACUGGACAAGUAUUGACGCUGAGGUGCGAAAGCGUGGGGAGCAAACAGGAUUAGAUACCCCUGUAGUCCCUGUCUCUUAUAC
This 301-nucleotide ribosomal RNA is filed under the name uncultured bacterium. Its description in RNAcentral is "partial 16S ribosomal RNA". It matches the Rfam family "Bacterial small subunit ribosomal RNA", at positions 509 to 807 of the family's 1533-position model. The record is from RNAcentral.